This 28-nucleotide ribosomal RNA is filed under the name Quercus canariensis. RNAcentral's name for it is "partial 25S ribosomal RNA". The record is from RNAcentral. Lineage: Eukaryota; Viridiplantae; Streptophyta; Magnoliopsida; Fagales; Fagaceae.
GCGACCCUAGGUCAGGCGGGACUACCCG